This 429-nucleotide ribosomal RNA is filed under the name Fusobacteriota bacterium. RNAcentral's name for it is "Fusobacteria bacterium partial 16S ribosomal RNA". It matches the Rfam family "Bacterial small subunit ribosomal RNA", at positions 355 to 776 of the family's 1533-position model. Lineage: Bacteria; Fusobacteriati; Fusobacteriota. The record is from RNAcentral.
UGGGGAAUAUUGCACAAUGGGCGCAAGCCUGAUGCAGCCAUGCCGCGUGUAUGAAGAAGGCCUUCGGGUUGUAAAGUACUUUCAGCGGGGAGGAAGGGAGUAAAGUUAAUACCUUUGCUCAUUGACGUUACCCGCAGAAGAAGCACCGGCUAACUCCGUGCCAGCAGCCGCGGUAAUACGGAGGGUGCAAGCGUUAAUCGGAAUUACUGGGCGUAAAGCGCACGCAGGCGGUUUGUUAAGUCAGAUGUGAAAUCCCCGGGCUCAACCUGGGAACUGCAUCUGAUACUGGCAAGCUUGAGUCUCGUAGAGGGGGGUAGAAUUCCGGGUGUAGCGGUGAAGUGCGUAGAGAUCUGGAGGAAUACCGGUGGCGAAGGCGGCCCCCUGGACGAAGACUGACGCUCAGGUGCGAAAGCGUGGGGAGCAAACAGG